Molecule: long non-coding RNA, 588 nt
Filed under: Lactuca sativa (garden lettuce)
Lineage: Eukaryota; Viridiplantae; Streptophyta; Magnoliopsida; Asterales; Asteraceae
Description: long non-coding RNA (LSAT_LNC004848)
Source: RNAcentral
AGUCACAACAGCGCUCGGACGUUUCCAUCGUCUGGUUCGGGGGUGUGACAUGUUAGGCGGUGGCGAGUUCGAGAUUAAAGUGUGAGGAUAUCUGCUUUCUGCUUUUCUUGUGAGUCUUCUCACUAUACUUUACCUAGAGUGGUAACAGAGUUAUGUGACUGAGUUAUUGUAUGUUAUGUAUGCAUUGUGUGUCACUGCAUUAUUUCUAUGUGAUUUAUGUUGUGUGUAUAUCAGAGUUAGGACCGGAAGGUCCACAGAGCUAGGACUAGAGGGUCCACAGAGUCAGGAUUAGAUUUAUGUGACAGUGUAUUCGUAUGCUAUUUAUUUUAUGAGAUUUAUUGUGAUAUGUGAUAUGCAUGAUUCAGAGUUAUCAGAGUUAGGACCUUUGGGUCCAUAGAGUUAGGGCUAGAGGGUCCACAGAGUCAGGAUUAGAUUUAUGUGACAGUGUAUUCGUAUGCUAUUUAUUUUAUGAGAUUUAUUGUGAUAUGUGAUAUGCAUGAUUCAGAGUUAUCAGAGUUAGGACCUUUGGGUCCAUAGAGUUAGGGCUAGAGGGUCCACAGAGAGUUGGGAUUGGAGGGUCCCAUUGAG